Molecule: transfer RNA, 75 nt
Rfam family: tRNA
About the family: Transfer RNA (tRNA) molecules are approximately 80 nucleotides in length. Their secondary structure includes four short double-helical elements and three loops (D, anti-codon, and T loops). Further hydrogen bonds mediate the characteristic L-shaped molecular structure. tRNAs have two regions of fundamental functional importance: the anti-codon, which is responsible for specific mRNA codon recognition, and the 3' end, to which the tRNAs corresponding amino acid is attached (by aminoacyl-tRNA synthetases). tRNAs cope with the degeneracy of the genetic code in two manners: having more than one tRNA (with a specific anti-codon) for a particular amino acid; and 'wobble' base-pairing, i.e. permitting non-standard base-pairing at the 3rd anti-codon position.
GCCCCUAUGGUGCAGUCCGGUCAAGCACAGAGGCCUUUCAAGCCUUUGACACGGGUUCAAAUCCCGUUGGGGGCA